RNAcentral lists this unclassified non-coding RNA (309 nucleotides) under uncultured fungus. RNAcentral's name for it is "sequence contains ITS1". The stretch from base 1 to 100 matches the Rfam family "5.8S ribosomal RNA", at positions 50 to 154 of the family's 154-position model. Lineage: Eukaryota; Fungi. The record is from RNAcentral.
GAAGUGCGAUAAGUGUCAUGACUUGCAGAUCCCCGAGAGCUGACAAAUUUCUGAAUGCAAAUGGCGGCCAACUCCGUUGGUCAUGUAUUGCAGAGUGUAGUUGUUCAUACUCAUCAUCCUCCACAAUGUCUUGUACGUUCUGGAGGGAUCUGCGCUUGUUGGGUUCAAUCUCCCAUGCGAGCGUGAAAAGUCAGAGUGGAUGCCUUCUGUCAUGGAAGGUGUCCAACUUCGGAGUUAUCUUAGAAGUUCCCCAGGCUCUGUCCCUUUAUAUAUUCACCUCUGCAAUGCAGGAAAACCCGCUGAACUUAA